GCUAUUCAGAUGGCGACCGGCGCACGGGCGAGUAACGCGUAGUCCAACUUCCUGCCAGUAGGGAACAGCCCGGCGAAAGUCGGAUUAAUGCCCUAUGUUCUUCAAUGCGGACAUCUAAGUUGAAGGAAAGAUUCAUCGCUGGCAGAUGGGGAUGCGUCCGAUUAGCUUGCCGGCGGGGUAACGGCCCACCGGGGCGACGAUCGGUAGGGGUUCUGAGAGGAAGGUCCCCCACACUGGUACUGAGACACGGACCAGACUCCUACGGGAGGCAGCAGUGAGGAAUAUUGGGUCAAUGGGCGUAAGCCUGAACCAGCCAAGUAGCGUGCAAGGGAUGACGGCCCUACGGGUUGUAAACUGCUUUUAUGCGGGGGAUAAAGUGCGGCACGUGUGCCGCUUUGCAGGUACCGCAUGAAUAAGGACCGGCUAAUUCCGUGCCAGCCGCUGC
Molecule: ribosomal RNA, 445 nt
Filed under: uncultured bacterium
Lineage: Bacteria
Description: bacterial SSU rRNA
Rfam family: Bacterial small subunit ribosomal RNA
Source: RNAcentral